GGGGGACGAGGGUGGACAGGUGGUGGCAUGGUUGUCGUCAGCUCGUGUCGUGAGAUGUUGGGUUAAGUCCCGCAACGAGCGCAACCCUCGACCUUAGUUGCCAGCAUUCAGUUGGGCACUCUAAGGUGACUGCCGGCUAAAAGUCGGAGGAAGGUGGGGGAUGACGUCAAAUCAUCAUGCCCCUUAUGACCUGGGCUACACACGUGCUACAAUGGGCGGUACAAAGGGUCGCGAACCCGCGAGGGGGAGCCAAUCCCAAAAAGCCGCUCUCAGUUCGGAUUGCAGGCUGCAACUCGCCUGCAUGAAGCCGGAAUCGCUAGUAAUCGCGGAUCAGCAUGCCGCGGUGAAUACGUUCCCGGGCCUU
RNAcentral lists this ribosomal RNA (364 nucleotides) under uncultured Anoxybacillus sp. RNAcentral describes it as "bacterial SSU rRNA". It matches the Rfam family "Bacterial small subunit ribosomal RNA", at positions 1019 to 1382 of the family's 1533-position model. The record is from RNAcentral. Lineage: Bacteria; Bacillati; Bacillota; Bacilli; Caryophanales; Anoxybacillaceae.